This 570-nucleotide ribosomal RNA is filed under the name Serratia marcescens. RNAcentral describes it as "bacterial SSU rRNA". It matches the Rfam family "Bacterial small subunit ribosomal RNA", at positions 85 to 651 of the family's 1533-position model. Lineage: Bacteria; Pseudomonadati; Pseudomonadota; Gammaproteobacteria; Enterobacterales; Yersiniaceae. The record is from RNAcentral.
UGGGUGACGAGCGGCGGACGGGUGAGUAAUGUCUGGGAAACUGCCUGAUGGAGGGGGAUAACUACUGGAAACGGUAGCUAAUACCGCAUAACGUCGCAAGACCAAAGAGGGGGACCUUCGGGCCUCUUGCCAUCAGAUGUGCCCAGAUGGGAUUAGCUAGUAGGUGGGGUAAUGGCUCACCUAGGCGACGAUCCCUAGCUGGUCUGAGAGGAUGACCAGCCACACUGGAACUGAGACACGGUCCAGACUCCUACGGGAGGCAGCAGUGGGGAAUAUUGCACAAUGGGCGCAAGCCUGAUGCAGCCAUGCCGCGUGUGUGAAGAAGGCCUUCGGGUUGUAAAGCACUUUCAGCGAGGAGGAAGGUGGUGAACUUAAUACGUUCAUCAAUUGACGUUACUCGCAGAAGAAGCACCGGCUAACUCCGUGCCAGCAGCCGCGGUAAUACGGAGGGUGCAAGCGUUAAUCGGAAUUACUGGGCGUAAAGCGCACGCAGGCGGUUUGUUAAGUCAGAUGUGAAAUCCCCGGGCUCAACCUGGGAACUGCAUUUGAAACUGGCAAGCUAGAGUCUCG